This 471-nucleotide long non-coding RNA is filed under the name Vigna radiata. RNAcentral's name for it is "long non-coding RNA (VRAD_LNC009638)". Lineage: Eukaryota; Viridiplantae; Streptophyta; Magnoliopsida; Fabales; Fabaceae. The record is from RNAcentral.
CUGCCACCUUAGAUAUCAUAACACCCAUCAGAAUAAUAUAAUAAACCUUACAGCUUGAAUACUUACCUUCUCAUAACGCAGCGACUCUUGACUGUGAGCACCACUCAAGGAAAACUCAAUCUAUACUCGCAACCUGACAUAUACUACAAGAUCUACCAAGACAAAUAAAUGGAAAACUAUCUCACCCUCGAUCACAACCACAAUAAAUAACUUUGUAUACAUUUCAAAAACAUGGAUUUCCACCACAACAAAAUAUCCAUAACACCGAUUAGCCAUUCCAAACACUACAAAGUAUUACCGAGCAAUAUCUGAUAAAAAUUUGAAAACCCUAUUAUCAUUAAAACACGUAUAUACCUUGCUCGUUUCCUUUCAACCUUAUCGAGAAUAAUAGUGCACCCAAACAUACACUAAGAAAAUAAUAUACCUACCCACAAAACCACUCUUCACAGUAUACAACACAUUAUGGUCGCG